AAGCACCGGCUAACUCCGUGCCAGCAGCCGCGGUAAUACGGAGGGUGCGAGCGUUAAUCGGAAUUACUGGGCGUAAAGGGUGCGUAGGUGGUGCCAUAAGUUAUCUGUGAAAUGCCUGAGCUUAACUUAGGGAGUGCAGAUGAUACUGUGAUGCUAGAGUAUGAGAGAGGGUAGUGGAAUUUCCGGAGUAGCGGUGAAAUGCGUAGAUAUCGGAAGGAACACCGGUGGCGAAGGCGGCUACCUGGCUUAAUACUGACACUGAGGCACGAAAGCUUGGGGAGCAAACAGGAUUAGAUACCCUGGUAGUCCAAGCUGUAAA
This 319-nucleotide ribosomal RNA is filed under the name uncultured Legionella sp. Its description in RNAcentral is "bacterial SSU rRNA". It matches the Rfam family "Bacterial small subunit ribosomal RNA", at positions 488 to 806 of the family's 1533-position model. Lineage: Bacteria; Pseudomonadati; Pseudomonadota; Gammaproteobacteria; Legionellales; Legionellaceae. The record is from RNAcentral.